AACAGCCAGAUCUGAGUGUGAGUCCUAUUUCUGUCAUUAAAUGCUGAGUGAUCUCAGCAAGUUAUUUCACCUCUCUAUAUUUUAUAAAUGAAAGCAUUUGUAUCCAUUUUACAAGAGUGGUGUGAGUAUUUAACAGAAUAAAAUAUGGAGGAAGAAAAGCAAAUGACUCAGCCCACCUCUUCCCUAACUUACUGAGAUCACACCACACACACACACACACACACACACACCCAAAAUAUCCACAACUAAAGGCAGAGUGCCCACUGUCCAUAUUCCAAACUAUGUGUGCCUUUUUCAUGUUCAGUUUUCUCUGUAACUCUCAAGUUUGUUAUAAGUUUCAUGAAUAUAUUAUUUAAAAGUCCUGGGAUUUUUAACAGCCUUGUGAUAAUCUAUCACUUGGAGAAAAAGAAAAAAAAAUGCAUUAGAAUGUAUGCUGUGAAAACUCCAAGGGCAGAUAAAAGAUUUACCUUCUGUUUUUCCUUUUCCACAAAUAGAAUUGCUGCACUUAGGAUACAGCAAUUUUAUUCUUGAAUACCUUUUGGGAAAACAAAUGUGAUUUGAAAGUCCUAUGAAUUAAAAAAACCCUGAAGCUUCAGUUAAUUAUUUUAUUUAUUAGGUUGGUGCAAAACUAAUCACGGUGUUUGCCAUUUAAAGUACUUUUGCCAUUACUUUAAAUGGCAAAAACCGUGAUUACUUUUGCACCAACCAAAUAUUUUUUUCCUAUGAGAUACAGAAUUAAUGGAUUAGAAUUGAUACUGAAAAAUAUAUAGACCCUGUUGCUCAAGCAGUCAGCUGGAGAGUUCUUGCUCCUGAUUCAAUGCUCAAGGCCCUGCAGUCAGCUGGGGAGUUCUUUCUCCAGACUCAAUGCUCAAGAUCCAGCAGUCAGCUGGGGAGUUCUUUCUCCAGACUCAGUGCUCAAGGUCCUGCAGUCAGCUGGAGAGUUCUUUCUCCUGACUCAGUGCUCAGGGUCCUGCAGUCAGCUGGAGAGUUCUUUCUCCUGACUCAGUGCUCAGGGUCCUGCAGUCAGCUGGAGAGUUCUUUCUCCUGACUCAGUGCUCAGGGUCCUGCAGUCAGCUGGAGAGUUCUUUCUCCUGACUCAGUGCUCAAGAUCCAGCAGUCAGCUGGAGAGUUCUUUCUUGUGACUCAGUGCUCAAGGUCCUGCAGUCAGCUGGAGAGUUCUUUCUCCUGACUCAGUGCUCAAGGUCCUGCAGUCAGCUGGAGAGUUCUUUCUCCUGACUCAGUGCUCAAGAUCCAGCAGUCAGCUGGAGAGUUCUUUCUCCUGACUCAGUGCUCAAAGUCCUGCAGUCAGCUGGAGAGUUCUUUCUCCUGACUCAAUUUGACUUUCCCACAUUCUCUUAUCUGAAACACAUUAAAAUACAACUUCAGGUACUGGAGACUAUGUCUUAAAAGAACACUAAUCUGAUCUUUUGUCCUAAAUUUAUUCAUGCUUACCUGUUCUCGUCUUCAGAGAUUCACUGAUCCUCAUUUGAUUCUGACAUUUCACUUUCAAAAAAAUCAUUAGUCUCCAAAACUCAAUAACUCACUCAACUUCUCUCCCUGGGUUAGAAUAUCCCUCAGACAAGCUGAUGAGAUUCCUUGCACAAUCAGUAAAUAUGACCACUUUCUUCCUUCCAGUCCUGUGAAAUGUGGAUCCAAACAGCUUGACCAAUCUUCCCUACUGAGCAAGAGAUUCAAACGUGGUGAAGUUACAAACAAGCAGAAGCUGCUCUUGUUGCUGGAAUUAAGGGACAGGAGAGACCGAUGGGUGGGCAGGAGGAUUUUAUUUAGGUGCACCGGCCCAGCAGAUU
Molecule: long non-coding RNA, 1808 nt
Filed under: Homo sapiens (human)
Lineage: Eukaryota; Metazoa; Chordata; Mammalia; Primates; Hominidae
Description: HSALNT0232047
Source: RNAcentral